GGGCGAGUGGUGGAAUGGUAUACACGCGACACUUAAAAUGUUGUGCCAAAAGCAUGUGGGUUCGAGCCCCACCUCGCCCACCA
Molecule: transfer RNA, 83 nt
Filed under: Candidatus Moraniibacteriota bacterium
Lineage: Bacteria; Candidatus Moraniibacteriota
Description: tRNA-Leu
Rfam family: tRNA
About the family: Transfer RNA (tRNA) molecules are approximately 80 nucleotides in length.
Source: RNAcentral